RNAcentral lists this long non-coding RNA (1360 nucleotides) under Helianthus annuus (common sunflower). Its description in RNAcentral is "hypothetical non coding rna". The record is from RNAcentral. Lineage: Eukaryota; Viridiplantae; Streptophyta; Magnoliopsida; Asterales; Asteraceae.
UUGGUGGAUUUUGGUUUCUUGGGUUUCGAAUGUUGCGAAAUUGUGGAAAAUGGUUUUCUAGGGUUCCGAAUGUUGUAAAACUUGGGGAUUUAGCUUUUCUAGGGUUUCGUAUUGAUCGAAGAGUGGAUUGGAUGGCUAGACGUGGCUCGUGUGUAUGAUCAUGUGAUUACUCAGAAGUUUAAUAGCUCUCAAUCUCAUGCAUCAGGUGCUCUUAGCAAUCAACUCACCGCUUAUUUGAAAUCGGUUGAGGUCUCAAGGCUUUAAGCGGUUCCUCAUCCACCGAUUUUUUUUGUUAUAAUUUCUCCAAAUCGGUUGACGAUUGAUUUUGUCUUGGAAUCCCUUUCCGCAGGUUUGGAAUUUUUUACCUUAAAAUCGAAAAUUGAUAAGAACUAUAUAAUACAAUACUUUUUAGUUUAACAUUAUUUGUGUUCCACUUACAAGUGAGGUUGGAGGGACAGACAACAUUUUGUUGGUUAAGGUUCUUUCCUAUGCUGCUAACAAUUGUGAGAGCAACAAAAUGUCAUGCUUAAGGUUUUUAAUUUGUUUGUUAAUAUUUGAUUAAUUAAAGUUUUCAUGAUAAUGAUUUUGGUAUCAUCUAAAUUUGUUUGAUAUAAAAAAGGGUUUGUAUACAUGUUCUUUGUUUUAAACAUGAAUACCUGGUGGGUUUAUUGAGGGAUUUGGGUACUGUAAAAAGUUGAUUUUGUUCCCCUUUGAGCUUCAGCUUUAGAUUAUUAGCCCAUUCUGUAAUUUAAUAUAGUUGCAGGAUGUUCUAUGAUUUGCAGCAACACACUAAAUAGUGGUGUUAUGCGGAUGUUAAACCUUUAGAUGCUCUGCAAAUGCCUCAAGGUGCCUUACUUGUUUAGUAGAAACACUAUCUGCUGAUGAUUUGGGAAUUGAAGAAGGAGUUUAUGGAGAUCUAGCUAUGUUAACUUAUGUUAAUGUCGCUGCUGCUACUCCAGUGGAUCCAUUUCAGGUGCAGGUGCUGAUGUUCUGGCUUCGUUGUAUAUCAUGACCAAACAAAAUGUUAAGUUAGGUAACAAAAUAUGAAAGCCAAUUAGAAGCCAGCUGGAGAGCACCGAAUGCUUAGAAAAGUGGCUAUAAAAGUUACCUAAAUAAAAAGGAGAUUUUAUUUUCAAUACUUAGGGUUUAUCCUUAUAAAUGUAUUGUAAAGAAAACUUAGGUUUUAUCCCAUUUAUUUAUUUUAAACAUUUUGGUGUUUAACUCUGAUAAAAAUAUUUCCUAACUACGGUCCUGAAGAAAAUUUCCGCUGCCAAAUUAAUAAACACCGAUACCAUCUGACUGGUUCGCAGCUCCCGCUCCCAGGAUGGGGUCAGGGGCUGUGACAGUUUGUUAUAAUUUA